CAGGAAAUCAACAUUCAAGGGGAGACCCAAUGAAGAAGAUAGUGCCAGAACUUAAUGGAGGCAGCCCAAGAGGAACGUGUACCUGGGGAAGUCAAGAGCUAUUUCUUGGACAUUUGUGCCUCUAUUCCAAACUCUUCUCUCAGAGUAGAUGACAACUCAGGAAGGAGCCAGAGAUCUUCCUCAGUUGACUUGUUCAGAAAUAUGAUUUGGGAUUCAGUCUGGCCCGAAGCCAUGCUUCCAGCCUCAUCUCCACUGUGCACUUUCCAUGGCGUUCUGUCUUGGUCCACUUGGCUUGUGUAGCUGCCUGGCCUGGGUUGUCCUCCCCACCCUUGUCUGCUUGGUGGCACUUGGCCCUGUUCUAAUUGCUUCUGCUCGGGCAGCUUCUCUCCUCCCUCCUCUGUGCUCUGAGCACACUGGACAGAUUCCUGUUAGAGCUGUCACUGUCUUCCUGCUGUCUGCCCACUGACCUUGGAGCUCCAGGAGGACAGGAGCCUUAUCUUACCCCAUGACAUGGCCUAUGCCCAGCCUGGUGCCAACGUGGUCUGGAGGUAUCUGUAGGCUGAAUGAAAUUCUUCCCUCUGGGAUGCCCUUUAAAGUUGUUUUCUUUCUGGAACCUGGGGCAGUGACUGGAAUGGUUGGAAUGUGGCCUUGGUUUGCCAUUGGGUGUUUUGUUCCUCCGAGCAUUGGCUGGACUCUCUGGUGAUUUCUGGUCUUGAAGGACUUCCUGUUUUAAAUGUCUGUGGGGUUGUGGUUCCCGAGCUGCUGCACUGUCUCCCAUAACCUUUCUCUCUAUCCUGGCCUGGUCUCUCUUCCACACCAGAACUUUCCUCUAGAUCAAUGGUCCAGGACCAUCAGAACCAGUGAACCACACUCCUGACCAUUCUCCAAAUAGUCAUUUGGCCAAAUACGAGCUCUUGUAAAUGAAGAAAUUAAAACUGCAAGUUGAAACUGAGUCACUGAUGGCGCCAGAUGUUUCUGGAGCAAAACUGGGAAAGAGGGUGAGCAUUGGAAAGACACCUCCUCCUGUUAUCUUCGAGAAGCCAUUUACUGGGAAAACAAAAACUGAGCUCCAUGAUGCAUAAAUUCCAAAAUGCAGAGGCCAAUUUCUUUCCCUUUGACCACAUGUCGGAAAGGCUCGGGGUUCAGUAACUGGAGGAGGCAGUGUUUAAUCCCAAUUUUACCAGUGAAGAAACUGAGGCUCAGAAAAACAAAGUGACUCCAAAUUCCUUGAGCACCUGGCCAGGGUCAGUCCCCACGGUGGCUGAGAUGGUUGACCAAUGGCCUCUGGGGAGAAGGCUAUGGGCACAGACACUGGUCCCUGGCUUGUUGGGAGGGAACAAGGAUGUCCAUCUGUCCUCCCUCAACACUGCCUCCUGGGGGACAAGGAAGAUGCCCAGAGUGAGUGGGCAGGGUGGGCGAUGGACUCAUACCCUGCCUUGGUGUCUCUGUGGCUCCUGGAAGAUCCUUGCAAGCAGCGGUGAGCACUGUGACUUGAGCCCUGCGGUGGUGGCUUGCCAUGUGGCCAGUCAAGGUGGACGAUGGACUCAUAUGCUGCCUGGGUGUCUCUGUGACUCUUGGGAGAUCCUUGCUGGCAGCGGUGAGCACUGUGACUUCAGCCCUGCAGUGGUAGCUGGUCACAUGGCCAGUCAAGGCUCAGUCUUCUUAGUAAUCAAAGGACUGAAAGUGUCCAGUAGCUUUGGAUGAUGGUUGAGGACUCGUUAAUAAAGACCACUGCCCUAUGGGAAUGCGUUAUACUCUCUGGAAUGAGCCGUGCAGGUGGGCUCAGAGAACAUACCAUUUGCACACUCAUAACAAUGUAAAAGUAUGAAAGUAAAAGUCAUAUGAAAUCCUCCUGUGCAGAGCUAGUUAAUGUUGGGUGACUGUCACUCCAGGCAUCUGUCUUUGCACUUGCAAGAGGGAUAACAUGUAGGUAAAUAGGAAAACACUGUACAGUAUAUGCUAUCCUUUACUUACUUUAGUCAAUGGUAUAUCAACAAACAUAAAUCUAUAUCAUUUUAACUGCAUCUGAUUCCAUUGUAUGAAUGUACCUUACUUUAUUUAAUCAGUAGGCUUCUGAUUGCAAUUUGCAUUGGGUUUUGCAUUUCAGCCAUCUUUCGUGAUCCUUAAA
RNAcentral lists this long non-coding RNA (2128 nucleotides) under Homo sapiens (human). RNAcentral's name for it is "HSALNT0066872". The record is from RNAcentral. Lineage: Eukaryota; Metazoa; Chordata; Mammalia; Primates; Hominidae.